CCGCAAGGUUAAAACUCAAAUGAAUUGACGGGGGCCCGCACAAGCGGUGGAGCAUGUGGUUUAAUUCGAUGCAACGCGAAGAACCUUACCCACUCUUGACAUCCAGAGAAUUCGCUAGAGAUAGCUUAGUGCCUUCGGGAACUCUGAGACAGGUGCUGCAUGGCUGUCGUCAGCUCGUGUUGUGAAAUGUUGGGUUAAGUCCCGCAACGAGCGCAACCCUUAUCCUUUGUUGCCAGCACGUAAUGGUGGGAACUCAAAGGAGACUGCCGGUGAUAAACCGGAGGAAGGUGGGGAUGACGUCAAGUCAUCAUGGCCCUUACGAGUAGGGCUACACACGUGCUACAAUGGCGUAUACAAAGAGAAGCGAACUCGCGAGAGCAAGCGGACCUCAUAAAGUACGUCGUAGUCCGGAUCGGAGUCUGCAACUCGACUCCGUGAAGUCGGAAUCGCUAGUAAUCGUAGAUCAGAAUGCUACGGUGAAUACGUUCCCGGGCCUUGUACACACCGCCCGUCACACCAUGGGAGUGGGUUGCAAAAGAAGUAGGUAGCUUAACCUUCGGGAGGGCGCUUACCACUUUGUGAUUCAUGACUGGGGUG
This 597-nucleotide ribosomal RNA is filed under the name uncultured bacterium. RNAcentral describes it as "bacterial SSU rRNA". It matches the Rfam family "Bacterial small subunit ribosomal RNA", at positions 886 to 1482 of the family's 1533-position model. The record is from RNAcentral.